This 497-nucleotide ribosomal RNA is filed under the name uncultured bacterium. RNAcentral describes it as "partial 16S ribosomal RNA". It matches the Rfam family "Bacterial small subunit ribosomal RNA", at positions 28 to 507 of the family's 1533-position model. The record is from RNAcentral.
GAUGAACGCUGGCGGCGUGCCUAAUACAUGCAAGUCGAGCGAACGGACGAGAAGCUUGCUUCUCUGAUGUUAGCGGCGGACGGGUGAGUAACACGUGGAUAACCUACCUAUAAGACUGGGAUAACUUCGGGAAACCGUAGCUAAUACCGGAUAAUAUUUUGAACCGCAUGGUUCAAAAGUGAAAGACGGUCUUGCUGUCACUUAUAGAUGGAUCCGCGCUGCAUUAGCUAGUUGGUAAGGUAACGGCUUACCAAGGCAACGAUGCAUAGCCGACCUGAGAGGGUGAUCGGCCACACUGGAACUGAGACACGGUCCAGACUCCUACGGGAGGCAGCAGUAGGGACUCUUCCGCAAUGGGCGAAAGCCUGACGGAGCAACGCCGCGUGAGUGAUGAAGGUCUUCGGAUCGUAAAACUCUGUUAUUAGGGAAGAACAUAUGUGUAAGUAACUGUGCACAUCUUGACGGUACCUAAUCAGAAAGCCACGGCUAACUACGUG